RNAcentral lists this ribosomal RNA (406 nucleotides) under uncultured bacterium. RNAcentral's name for it is "partial 16S ribosomal RNA". It matches the Rfam family "Bacterial small subunit ribosomal RNA", at positions 30 to 526 of the family's 1533-position model. The record is from RNAcentral.
AUUGAACGCUGGCGGCAGGCCUAACACAUGCAAGUCGAACGAGUGGCGGACGGGUGAGUAAUGUCUGGGAAACUGCCUGAUGGAGGGGGAUAACUACUGGAAACGGUAGCUAAUACCGCAUACCAUCAGAUGUGCCCAGAUGGGAUUAGCUUGUUGGUGGGGUAACGGCUAACCAAGGCGACGAUCCCUAGCUGGUCUGAGAGGAUGACCAGCCACACUGAAACUGGGACACGGUCCCGAGUCCUACGGGAGGCAGCAGUGGGGAAUAGUACACAGUGGGCGCAAGCCAGAUGCAGCCAUGGCGCGUGUAUGAAGAAGGCCUACGGGUUGUAAAGUACUUUCAGCGGGAAGGCGUUACCCGCAGGAGAAGCACCGACUAACUACGUGCCAGCAGCCGCGGUGAUAC